RNAcentral lists this ribosomal RNA (390 nucleotides) under uncultured bacterium. RNAcentral's name for it is "bacterial SSU rRNA". It matches the Rfam family "Bacterial small subunit ribosomal RNA", at positions 28 to 416 of the family's 1533-position model. The record is from RNAcentral.
GAUGAACGCUAGCGGCAGGCCUAAUACAUGCAAGACGAACGGUAAGUUGAGUAGCAAUACUUAGCCAAGAGUGUCGUACGGGUGCGUAACACGUAUGCAACCUACCCUAUACAGGAGGAUAGCCUAGGGAAACCUGGAUUAACCCUUCAUAGUAUUAUUGGAUGGCAUCAUUUGAUAAUUAAAACUGAGGUGGUAUAGGAUGGGCAUGCGUCUGAUUAGUUAGUUGGCGGGGUAAUGGCCCACCAAGACGAUGAUCAGUAGGGGUUCUGAGAGGAAGAUCCCCCCACACUGGCACUGAGAUACGGGCCAGACUCCUACGGGAGCAGCAGUAGGGAAUAUGGUCAAUGGAUGCAAGUCUGAACCAGCCAUGCCGCGUGCAGGAAGAAGGCC